CGGGUAGCGGAACACGUACACAACCUUCCUUUAAGAGGGGAUAGCCCAGAGAAAUUUGGAUUAAUACCCGUAAGAUUAUGAGAUGGCAUCAUUUUAUAAUUAAAGCUAAGGCGCUUGGAGAUGGGUGUGCGUCUGAUUAGGUAGUUGGUGCGGGUAACGGCCCACCAAGCCUUCGAUCAGUAACUGGUGUGAGAGCACGACCAGUCACACGGGCACUGAGACACGGGCCCG
Molecule: ribosomal RNA, 231 nt
Filed under: uncultured bacterium
Lineage: Bacteria
Description: partial 16S ribosomal RNA
Rfam family: Bacterial small subunit ribosomal RNA
Source: RNAcentral